UUGCCCUACAAAUUCUCCUUCACUCUUACUUCCUAAUUACAACUUGCUACUUCCGACCUUUUUACACCUCCUUCCACCCUCCGAGCCCUUCUUUUCGACCGACCCCUAGAAGAAGAAGAAGAAGAAGAAGAUCUCAGAAAUGACUCGGCGCAGGACGGCUUUGCCUGAGAGAAGCCACGACGAAGUUGCCUUGGUUUUAGACUGGCAUCCAGCUGAUUGGGACCCACGAAAUAAGGACGGCACUCGCUAUUACAUUAUGUGAAAUCUAUACAACUUCAAAACACCAACAUGAGCAGAAGAAGAGCUUCUCCUUCUCCUCAAGGCCGGAGGUGGUAGGAUAUUUGCCAUGCAGGUAAACAUCGUGCGGCAUCCCAUCAACUCCAACUGGCCAAAGAAAUUGAUGGAAAAGGACUAACUGACCACAACUUGAAAUCACCAUUGGCGGUGUUUUUCAGAAGCAUUUCCUACGUGAUGUGAAAUUUGCCGUAAUUCUUCUUUAACCGAAGGUCUUCAUGUCUGACCAUUAAUCCCGCAUCAUGUGCUGGUGAUGGUGAUCUCGGUAUGACUUCAGAUCCUCGCCUUUAAAAGCAUCCACAUCCUCAUUCUUUAACCACCCAUUCUUUGAAUCGGAAACACUCACUCACACUGUGAAAAAAUUUUGAUCUUCCUGUUUUUUCCUUUUCCCUGGCAAAACCGUUGUUGGUGCUUCCUGUAUUUUUCUGACUUUGCCCAUGUUUGGUUUCUUUCCAUAAUUUCGUAGGAAAAUAGUUUCUUUUUUUUCUUUUUUGGAUCAACAGUGCGGGGACCCACAUUGAAGGAGGGAAAUUUCCACUUUCGCUCUCGGCCAGUAUCCGGUCGGUGGGGGCGUCUGCAAGAUACCAUUCUUCCAAGCCUCAAACAUUUUAUCUCUUUUUUUUUUUUUUUGGGUUUUCUCUUUAAUCAUGGAGAAGCUGAACUCGGUGAAGCCGCUUUCCCAUCAGGCCAAAAAAAUUAAGAUGCAGAGCGCAGACAUUUUUCAAAUCUAAAAAGCCCUUAACGUGGUGAGGAGAGUUCUUUUUUGAGAUACCCGUUCUGCCAUUGUCCUACCAUGCUCAGAAAUCCUUGACUUGAUAUUGCAACUGUCGACCGCUGGAUCGCGGGAAUGUAAGGUCACAAAUGAGAUCCACAGGUCGAAAGCUCAGUUCUCCUAGGUUCAAUGUAAGGUUGGCAAUCCAAAGUGGGGUUCAGAUGUCGGCCAGCUGAAUGUCAAUGAACCUAGUCCUUUUGAAGAACAGAUACCACUCGUAAUCUGAAAAGAUUCAGCAAAUAAAAUGUUUCCAUCGGUUUUUUUUUUUUUUUUUUUUUUUUUUUCUUUU
Nymphaea colorata (pocket water lily) is the source of this 1355-nucleotide long non-coding RNA. RefSeq lists it as uncharacterized. The record is from RefSeq and is a predicted model, not a curated record. NCBI's taxonomy places the organism in Eukaryota, Viridiplantae, Streptophyta, Magnoliopsida, Nymphaeales, Nymphaeaceae. The transcript is spliced from 2 exons.